RNAcentral lists this ribosomal RNA (255 nucleotides) under Klebsiella michiganensis. RNAcentral's name for it is "partial 23S ribosomal RNA". It matches the Rfam family "Bacterial large subunit ribosomal RNA", at positions 1422 to 1677 of the family's 2925-position model. The record is from RNAcentral. RNAcentral also lists the same sequence under 1 other name. Lineage: Bacteria; Pseudomonadati; Pseudomonadota; Gammaproteobacteria; Enterobacterales; Enterobacteriaceae.
AAACAGGUUAAUAUUCCUGUACUCGGUGUUACUGCGAAGGGGGGACGGAGAAGGCUAUGUUGGCCGGGCGACGGUUGUCCCGGUUUAAGCAUGUAGGCGGAUGUUCCAGGUAAAUCCGGAACGUUAUCAACGCUGAGGUGUGAUGACGAGGCACUACGGUGCUGAAGUGACAAAUGCCCUGCUUCCAGGAAAAGCCUCUAAGCAUCAGGUAACAUCAAAUCGUACCCCAAACCGACACAGGUGGUCAGGUAGAGA